Long non-coding RNA from Chrysemys picta bellii (western painted turtle), 673 nucleotides. RefSeq lists it as uncharacterized. Lineage: Eukaryota; Metazoa; Chordata; Testudines; Emydidae. The record is from RefSeq and is a predicted model, not a curated record.
GUGUUGUGGGGGCAGACAAUCUGCUCCAAUAUAUUUUUCAGUUGCUCAUGUCUAUGCAGCUGCAUACAGAAAGCUGCAUUUUGAACAUGUGGCUAAUUACACCGAAAGGGGGCUAAAGCGAUAUCUCAAGGCCAAAUACAUCAUGGAAAGAAAAAAUAGCUUUUAUGAAAUUGUCAAUGGAUUGCCUAAAAGCAGGGACAUGCACAGAAAUAAAAAUGUGGCUGCUUUUGGAGGGGCACUUUCUGUGCCCCCCUGCUGCCCCAGUGGAGCUCGCUCUCCCCCUGCAGCUGGAGGAGUUCUGUGCCCCACCCCAGCUGAUGGGGGUUCAUCCAUUUUAGAAUGUGUGACUUGUCUGGAUGGUUGAGUCACUGAAGAAUUACCAACAAAGAUCAACAACCUACAGGGGUUGCCGGGUGCGGAAAAGAUUGCAGCACCACAUCCAGACAACAGGAGGCACUGAAAAGAGGUAGUGUUGGAGAUUCAAAGGUGUGGAUUUCAACUCCUCUGACUCUUAUCCCAAUAAGAAAAGGGAACAGAAAUAAGGAAGUAUUGAGAACGUUAUAUCUGACUUUCCUGACUUUUAACGCAGCCCUUCCACUGGCUCUGGCUCGGUGGAGCCGGAGAAAGCCCUGACAGUUGUGGCUGUGAGGUUGUGUUGGACUUGGCUGGUCUC